GUCCUUCCCCUUAAGUUUUCUUUUCUCUCCUUUCUUGUCUUUUUCUUUUUCUUUCUCUUUGCCUUCUUUUGCUUUACCCUUCUGCUUCUCUUCCUCUCCUUCACCUUCUGAUUCUUUCUCAAAAUCUACUAUUUCAAUUUCCCUGGAGGUUAUGUCAGUCUCACACUUCAUGUCAUUUGCUCCAUCUUCGUGUUUCUUCUUCUCCUUCUCAUCAGUUUCUUUCUUCUUGCUCUUCUCUUCGUCCUUGUGCUUUGUUUCUUUCUCUUCUUUGUCUUUCUUCUUCUCUUUUUUCUCUUCUUUCUCUUUCUUCUUCUUCUUCUCUCCUACCUCUUCAUCUUCAUCCUUGUGCUUCUUUUCUUUCUUCUUCUCCUUUUCUUUCCUGUCUUUUUCUUUUUCUUCCUCUUUGCCUUCUUUUGCUUUACCCUUCUGCUUCUCUUCCUCUCCUUCACCUUCUGAUUCUUUCUCAAAAUCUACUAUUUCAAUUUCCCUGGAGGUUAUGUCAGUCUCACACUUCAUGUCAUUUGCUCCAUCUUUGUGUUUCUUCUUCUCCUCCUCAUCAGUUUCUUUCUUCUUGCUCUUCUCUUCGUCCUUGUGCUUUGUUUCUUUCUCCUCUUUGUCUUUCUUUUUCUCCUUUUUCUCUUCUUUCUCUUUCUUCUUCUUCUUCUCUCCUACCUCUUCAUCUUCAUCCUUGUGCUUCUUUUCUUUCUUCUUCUCCUUUUCUUUCCUGUCUUUUCUUUUCUUUCUCUUUGCCUUCUUUUGCUUUACCCUUCUGCUUCUCUUCCUCUCCUUCACCUUCUGAUUCUUUCUCAAAAUCUACUAUUUCAAUUUCCCUGGAGGUUAUGUCAGUCUCACACUUCAUGUCAUUUGCUCCAUCUUCGUGUUUCUUCUUCUCCUUCUCAUCAGUUUCUUUCUUCUUGCUCUUCUCUUCGUCCUUGUGCUUUGUUUCNCUCUCCUCUCU
RNAcentral lists this long non-coding RNA (958 nucleotides) under Theobroma cacao (cacao). Its description in RNAcentral is "long non-coding RNA (TCAC_LNC003548)". Lineage: Eukaryota; Viridiplantae; Streptophyta; Magnoliopsida; Malvales; Malvaceae. The record is from RNAcentral.